Molecule: transfer RNA, 81 nt
Filed under: Cyanoptyche gloeocystis
Lineage: Eukaryota; Glaucocystophyceae
Description: tRNA-Leu
Rfam family: tRNA
About the family: Transfer RNA (tRNA) molecules are approximately 80 nucleotides in length. Their secondary structure includes four short double-helical elements and three loops (D, anti-codon, and T loops).
Source: RNAcentral
GCUCACUUGGUGAAAUGGUAGACACUACAGACUUAAAAUCUGUUUCUUUAUAGAGUAUUGGUUCAAUUCCAAUAGUGAGCA